CCCUUAGAUGUUCUGGGCUGCACGCGCGCUACACUGAUGCGAUCAACAAGUUUUCCUAUGUCGAUAGACACGGGUAAUCUUUUGAACUCGCAUCGUGAUGGGGAUAGAUUAUUGUAAUUAUUAAUCUUCAACGAGGAAUUCCUAGUAGGUGCAAAUCAUCAGUUUGCAUCGAUUACGUCCCUGCCCUUUGUACACACCGCCCGUCGCUGCUACCGAUUGGUUGAUCUGGUGAAUUAUUCGGACUGCCGGCUGAAGGGGUUUCCUCAUCUGCCAGCGGAAAGUCUUGUUAACCCUAUCAACUAGAGGAAGCAGAAGUCGUAACA
RNAcentral lists this ribosomal RNA (323 nucleotides) under uncultured eukaryote. RNAcentral describes it as "partial 18S ribosomal RNA". It matches the Rfam family "Eukaryotic small subunit ribosomal RNA", at positions 1470 to 1796 of the family's 1831-position model. The record is from RNAcentral.